This 959-nucleotide long non-coding RNA is filed under the name Mus musculus (house mouse). Its description in RNAcentral is "long non-coding RNA chr1:129372303-129373262". Lineage: Eukaryota; Metazoa; Chordata; Mammalia; Rodentia; Muridae. The record is from RNAcentral.
UGAUAACAUGGGUGGCAACUCACAACAGCUGUAUCCCUAUAUCUCCCAGAUAACAUGCUGGCAAUUCCAUCAUAUUCUCAUCUACAUUGCCACCAUUGGUGAUUAUAUAGCCUUGAGGAGAAACCCUUGUGACCUUUUUACUUCCUGUGUCUUAAUGAGGCUUUACCCACCCUCAAAGGAAUGUAUCAAUUUAGAGAAAAUAGAUACACAGGAUAUAGUUUAGUGAGGCUGGAUGCUUCUGACUGGUAGAGCAGAAGGUAGAGGCAUAGAUCUACUCGGGUGGCUCCCUGAAGCUCUACUCUGCCCUACUUCGAACAGACAGAAUCUUCCAAUUAUCUAUCUCCACACAAUGGUCACAACUUUAAAAAAGGAAAUUUCAAAGUUAUAGAAAAUCCCCACAUCAUGAAACAAAACGAUAUGUCUUUAAAUGUAAAAUUGAAACCUUAUUUGUUGUGUUUCCCCAUGAAUCAUGAAAGAAGAAAGGGAAUAGGGUGAUAUUUUGAGUUAACUGAGUUCUGAUAUAACUUUUUCAUGAAUUCUGAGGCAUGGGAUUUUAAACAUUAGCUUUCGUCAUAAGAGACAUUAAUAACUGAGUGUUGAGAAACUUCAAAAUUAGGAAUAUUGAUGAUGUACAUUAUUAUGAUGAGGAAUGUGAAUUCAUUAAGUUUUGCAGCUGUGAGGAGGCCCCGGCUGUAACAUCUGUCCCUUUGUUAAUGUCAGAAAUAGAUUUAGCCCUUUGGCAAGCUGACUCGUGUGCCCAUUCUCCAUCUCUGCUCUGUGGGAAACCUUUUGAAUUAUGUCCUUGGUCUUUGGGAAAAGCAAUCCAAUAAGCAGCAAUUUAUUUCAGUGUCUUCGUGCCUCGUUAAGAGGAAUAUCUCAAAUGCCAUUUCAUAGACUUUCAGACAAGCCGUAGAUAUGUGAAAGACAUUAGUUGUUUUCUUGUCUCCCUAUAUAUGCAU